GCUAUUAUGGUCCAACGGUUAAGACAUCAGUUUGUGGUAUUACUACAAACCACUGAAGACCGAGGUUCGACUCCUCGUAAUGGCA
Trichoderma atroviride IMI 206040 is the source of this 85-nucleotide transfer RNA. It matches the Rfam family "tRNA". From Rfam's summary of the family: Transfer RNA (tRNA) molecules are approximately 80 nucleotides in length. Their secondary structure includes four short double-helical elements and three loops (D, anti-codon, and T loops). NCBI's taxonomy places the organism in Eukaryota, Fungi, Ascomycota, Sordariomycetes, Hypocreales, Hypocreaceae. The record is from Rfam.